Molecule: ribosomal RNA, 1429 nt
Filed under: Gastrotheca pulchra
Lineage: Eukaryota; Metazoa; Chordata; Amphibia; Anura; Hemiphractidae
Description: partial large subunit ribosomal RNA
Rfam family: Bacterial large subunit ribosomal RNA
Source: RNAcentral
CAUAAAAUAGCUUAAAUCAAAGCACCCCGCUUACGCCGGGGAAGCUGUUUGUUUAAAUCAAAUUUUUAUGAGCCAAACCCCUAGCCUAACUUUUCGUAAAACUAUUCCCCCCGAACCAAAACAUUUGACCUAUCUAGUACUGGUGAUAAAAAAAUAAAUAAGAGCUAUAACAAUAGUACCGCAAGGGAAAGGUGAAAUAUAGUGAAAAAGCCUUAAGCAUAAAAAAAUAGAGCCUCACCCUCGUACCUUUUGCAUCAUGGUUUAACUAGUCCAACCAAGCAAAAAGAUUUUAAGUUUGACCCCCCGAAACUGGGCGAGCUACUUCGAGGCAGCCUUUAGGGCAAACCCGUCUCUGUUGCAAAAGAGUGGAAAGACCCCCAAGUAGAAGUGACAAACCAACACUCGGGAAAAGGAUUUUAGUCCGACCUAAAGUUAAACUAAUAAUAAUAAAUAAAACCUCAACUUUAGUGUCCCUCAGACAGGGUACAGCUUGUCUGACACAGGAUACAACCUCAAAUAAUGGGUAAUUUUGCACCCUCUGUGAUUUUGUGGGCCUAAGAGCAGCCACCAAAUAAAGAGCGUUGAAGCUUUAUCACACUUGUGUAAACAAUUACAACAAUCCCAAUCAACCCUUUAGUAGUACCAAGUAAUUUUAUAAUGCUAUAAAACCUAUUAUGUUAAAACUAGUAACAAGAAGAAAGACCCUUCUCUUUAGUGCACUUCUAAGUCAGCAUGGACAGGCCACUGACGAUUAAUGCUUUGAGCCCCUAGUAGAAACUUUAACAAGAAAACCCUAUUAACCACAACGUUAACCUAACACAAGAGCACUUCAAGAAAGAUUAUAAAAAAAAGAAGGAACUCGGCAAACACUAGCCUCGCCUGUUUACCAAAAACACCGCCUCUUGCAGAAUAUAAGAGGUCCCGCCUGCCCAGUGAAUAUGUUCAACGGCCGCGGUACCCUGACCGUGCGAAGGUAGCGUAAUCAUUUGCCCCCUAAUUAGAGGCUAGUAUGAACGGCUACACGAGGGCUAAACUGUCUCCUUUUUUUGAUCAGUGAAACUAAUCUCCCCGUGAAGAAGCGGGGGUGUACCCAUAAGACGAGAAGACCCUAUGGAGCUUUAAACAAAGCAACAACUGCAGGCCCCACCCCCCCCCAACCCUAAGGGCAGCUCACUGAUUGCUAGUUUUGGGUUGGGGCAACCACGGAGUAAAAUUAAACCUCCGCGCUGAAAAAGACACGACCCUAAGCAAAAACCUACAAUUUUAUGCAUCAACAAAUUGACAACAUUGACCCAAUAUUUUGAGCAACGAAACAAGUUACCCUAGGGAUAACAGCGCUAUCUACUUCGGGAGCACAUAUCUACAAGUAGGCUUACGACCUCGAUGUUGGAUCAGGGUAUCCUAGUGGUGUAGCAGCUACUUAAGGUUC